UUGACAAACGCGGCAUUUCGGUGUUGAGGAAAGUCCAUGCUCACAAAAUCUGUGAUGAUUUUAGUGUUUGUGCUAAGGGAAAAAAUAACCUUAGGUAGUAUUUAAUACUAACGGCUGUGAAAUAACCUAAGUCUUAGGAUAUUGGUUAAAGUAGCUAUAAAAGUGCUAUAGUGAUGAAGAAUCUGGAAACGGAGGAAGUGGAACAUAGUAAACCCCACAAGUGAGAAACCCAAAUUUUGGUAGGGGAGUUCUUGAAAGGGAAUCAAACCUUGAGAGGAAUCAAGAAAUUGAUAGAUAAAUGUUUGUCACCUAGUUUAGGUACAGAACAUGGCUUAUAA
This 338-nucleotide RNase P RNA is filed under the name bovine gut metagenome. RNAcentral describes it as "Bacterial RNase P class B". It matches the Rfam family "Bacterial RNase P class B". From Rfam's summary of the family: Ribonuclease P (RNase P) is a ubiquitous endoribonuclease, found in archaea, bacteria and eukarya as well as chloroplasts and mitochondria. The record is from RNAcentral.